GACCCCGUUUCCUCUGACUGAAAGAUGUGGCGGAGGGGCUUCCCAUCUGCGUCGCCUCCCUCGGGCAGGCAGCUCUGAGAUGCCCGGAGGGAUGCGAUGCCCCAUCGCCAAACUGGGGCCUCUAAGGUCAGGGCCAUGCCUUCCCCUCAGACUGAGGCGGCUGAGGGCAGGAUCCUCAGACUGAUGGCUGUGGGAGCCGUGCCACGCCCCUCGUGCCCCCGUGAGGCCGGGCCGGGGGUCCCGUGGCUUCACAUGGUGCUGUUCUGGGCUUUGGCCACCAGAUGGCAGCCGAGGCUAAGGGAUGGGGCCGCCGCUUCCCGUCCCGCUGUCCUUGUGCCUCUAAGCCCCGGGACCCUGGACCAGGGAACGGAGGGAGGGCCACUCAACCCAAGGAAGAUGCCUCCCUUUUCUUCCUCCACUCCCCGGUAUGAUACAUGCCCCUUCCAGAGAGGGAAAGAAUCUGCCCGCUCCCCUCCCACUAGGCUCCUCUGGUCUGUACCCUGGAAAGAGAGGCGGCGGAUUCUGAGACUCAUCUUCGUGACCCCCUGCCUGCACCCGCCCUGAGGCUAGGGCGCUCCCAGCUCUGCCCAGUCUGGGUUAGGCGUCCAGCCCCCGUUUGCUGCUUCUCUGCUUCUGACUUGGGUCUGCAUCUGAUUCCUGGGUCCCAUCCUUAGCCCCAGGCCCUGACCCCUUGUCGUGAUGACAGGCAGUUUAGAUAGGCCGUGGUUAGAAAUGCAGCUCCACAGGCUACAGGUCACCUUCCUGAGCCUCGGUUUCUUCAUCUGCAGAAAGGGGUUGUGGUGAGGUUGAGUGAGAUGACUCGUGGUUAGAAGCCAGAAAGAGCAACUCUUAUUUUUACCGUCAUUACCCUGGGCUCCCUGGGGAGUGAUCUUGCACAGUCUCUUCCUCUCCAGGGGCCUGGGCUCCUGGCUUUGAAAAUCUAGCUGUGACUAUUAGCUGCCAUCCAGAGACCCACUGCCUCCUCGAGUCCCUACUCUCCCUGCUACCCGGCUUUCAGAUUGUCCACCUUGUUGGGUCCUCCCACAGACGAACUCCAGGCUGAACACCUGGAGUCUGGCACCAGCUCCCCCAAUGCCUCUGUGUCACCUGCUGGAGGACCUCACCACCCCAGGUCACCACCCCCAUCUCCUUCACCCUCUCCACCACCUCAACCAUCAGCUUCAUCUGCAGCACCCCAUGCUGAAACUUGUAGUUGACCUCAAGACCGACAGGCUGCCUGAUAUGUCAUUUCUUUGAGGGGUGGUCAUGGCUGGGAUGAUAUGCUGUUGUCUCUGUGAACACUUUUCCCACUUAUUGGCUAAGCAAGUUGCUUAAGCUCCCUAUGCCUCAGUUUCACCAUCUGUAAAAUGGGGAUACCACCUCUGAACAGGAUCGUGCUCAUUUAUUCACUGCGUGCUACAGAGUGGGGUAUGAAGGGGGGAUAAGAAAGAGAACCUCCCCUGGGCUGGGGCCCUGGGCAGGGAAGUGGUGACUGGUGCUAACGAGGGCUGCGGUGGGGAAGUGCUGGAGCCUAUGGGUGUACCACAGCAACAGAGGACACCUGGCUUAACCUCAGGUUCUGUGCUGAGCCCUGAACAUGACAGUGAGGAUAUAAAGCCUGGGAAACGCUCAGCUCUCUGCCUGGAACCCUCGCUGACAGCGCAGGUGGCCGCACAACCUUUCCAUUUCCGAGCCCCUGCCCUCAGAGGAUUAUGAAAUUAAAAAUUAGCAAAUGCCAUGACGAGGCUUAUGUGGUGCCAGGCACCGUUCUGAGUGCCUUAUGCUUAUGAACUCAGUCCUUGUAGCAGCACGUGGGGAAGGUGUUAUCAUUACUCCCAUUUUACAGGUGAGGAAACCGAGGACCAGUGAGAUGACAUCACUUGCUCAGGGUGGCGCAGCUUGUAUGGUGAAGCAGGGCGUGAAACCAGACAGGCUGGUGGCGGAGUCCACACCUUCACUCCUCCCCUAUGAAAUGGCCACCUCAUGGGGCAUCGUGGGAAUUAAAGUGUCUGCAGGCAAAGCUCGUAACUCUGAGCGGGAGCCUCCAAACAACAGCAUCCUAGCAGGGAGGUGUGCACGUACCUUGCUGAUGUCAGGGGACCUGGAACGGCCACCCUCUGCAUCGCUGAGGGCUUUGGUGAUGGCGAACUGGAUGGCCAGGCCAGUCAUGGUGCCUGUGGACAGCGGCUGGAUGCGGCGCACAGCCUGCAGCAGGGCGGCCUUGGAAACGUGAGCCCGCAGAGAGAACUCCUGCUUCACGGUGCUGGCAUAGUUGACCAUGCCCACCCGGGUGGCAUUGGGCCCCACGUCCAGCGACUCGAUGACCUGGGACAGGAAUACCUUCACCUUCUCAAAUUCUACAGGCCGCACACUGCGGGAGCUGUCGACAACAAACACCAGGGUCACACAAGGGCCAUCGACGGUGACCAAGGAUGAGAAAUGUACAGUGCUGUCCUCGUGCCAUGCUGGAGGUGAACGAGGAGAACGUGAGCUGGGGUGUCCUCACCAACUGCGCACGCCCCCCCGCAACUCCCCUGACGGCCAGGGCUGUGUCUGGGGCUCAGGGCACAAGGCUCCAUUAGCUGGGCAGCAGCUGGCCCAUGAAACAGCCCUUUCAGCUCCACCUCUGAAUGGCAGUUCUAUGGGCUCGUCGGAGGAACACAGGCGCCUUCUCUGUGUCACUUCUGCGCUCAUUAGCAGAGCUGUAGAAAUAUACUACAGGACUCAAAAUCGAGAACAGUGUGUCUGGUAUGAGCCAGAAGAAAAAAAAAAUGCACGGAGAGGCCUUCUGUGUAGUUGCUCACAAGGCAAACAGUAAAGGGCUCUGCUGUUCCCUCCUCCUGUUUUCACAUCCCUCGGGCUUCCAGAAACUUAAAGCCAUUAGUGUUUAAUGCAAGAGAGAGCAUUUGUGAUCCACGGAGAGGCCCCUGGACAGUGUGGUUCAGUGGGAAGCACCCAGGACUCCCUCUCCAGUGCUCCCAGGAUCAACUCUUUCCCUCAAGAGCAAACUGGUUAACUUGCAAUAACCUAGCUAACCAGAUGCAACAUCAGCCGGGGCAGGCUGCCCCCUUCACUCUUCGCUCACCAUCAUCAGUUUGGCAGUAUCCACAUACACCUUUACCAGUACUUAUUUAAUCUUUUUGUAUAAUUCACUCUAAACCAACUCACUUCUUAAAAAUUUCUCUGCCUUCUAAGAAAUAAUAGCCAUGAAAUCAC
Molecule: long non-coding RNA, 3216 nt
Organism: Cercocebus atys (sooty mangabey)
Lineage: Eukaryota; Metazoa; Chordata; Mammalia; Primates; Cercopithecidae
Exons: 4
Source: RefSeq, a predicted model, not a curated record